Molecule: non-coding RNA, 92 nt
Organism: Mycena leptocephala
Lineage: Eukaryota; Fungi; Basidiomycota; Agaricomycetes; Agaricales; Mycenaceae
Source: the annotation of a GenBank genome assembly
UCGGACAUGGUGUAUGGUACACCACCUCUCUUCAUAUGUAGGGUACAGAUGUGUUUGACGAGGCUGCUGGGGUUCGAUUCCCCAUGUCCGAC